This 1912-nucleotide long non-coding RNA is filed under the name Sparus aurata (gilthead seabream). RNAcentral's name for it is "lncRNA (ENSSAUG00010024061.1)". Lineage: Eukaryota; Metazoa; Chordata; Actinopteri; Spariformes; Sparidae. The record is from RNAcentral.
CCUACCUCACUGCGUGGCUACGUGACGAGGCUGCGUCAUUGCGUCGUAGCCAUAGCAACCGCAACAGUUUCCUGACAUGGCUCACGUCAGGAAAAAGUCCAUUAAAACUUCUUGUAUUUUAUGAUUAUUUUCGCCUUCAUUUCGACAGAGACUGGUGAAUAUGGUCGCUAAAGGAGACAAGGAGAGAUCAAUGGAGCAGGAGGGGGAGGAGGAAAUGAAGAUGGUUCUUAACUGUCCUCCAAUCCACCCACUGCCUGAAGAGAUAAAAAAAAAAAAGGUAGGCAGCGAUUCAAACAUCAUGUCCCUGAAAACCCCUGGCAGGUACCUUGCUGAUUUUAUUUUCUAUUUGAAGUUACAUCUGAACGCCAGGGGAACCAAUACGGAAUCAUUUUCACAGUAUAGACAUGUAUUCACUGUGGGACAAUACUGCACUUUACCAUUCAAAAUGACAUGUUAAUGGAAGAAGACCAUAUUGACACAACAUAUGUUGGAUUUUUUUUAACCCAGAAACACAAAUGUGUUGAGAACAUACAGUAUUUUUUUCCACCUUGAUGAGUAUUUCAACACUGCACACUCUCCAUAUGCUGCAGUAAUCCAUAUGAUUUGAAGAAAUGGGACACUGUUUCCUCUUUUUAUCUUCCAUCUGUUUUAAGAUAAAGCACAGAGGACGUUAACAUGGCAGUGAUGCGUGUUGCUUUAUAUCCUUGUCAAUGUCAGGUGGCAGUUACAUAUUCCCAUAUGAUAUGCCAUAUGGUAUGAAUAUAAAUUAGCAAGGAAAAUCUCUAGCUUCUCCCCAUUCAAACAGGAAGCACAUGGAGGAUCUACGGUCGGUGUAUUCUCUGUCUGUCAAAGGACAUAAUUUUCUCCAAAGACCGUGUUUUACAGAAAUUGAAAACUCUUUUGAAGCUGGCGCUAAAGCAUUUUUCACAUAAAACCGCAUAUUUCAAAAAGGCUCUUUCACAUGCCUUUACAUCCAAGCAAAGCAGCAAGCUAAAGUAAUUAGAUUAUGACUUUUUUUUUUUUUUUUGCAGAUGUGUAUAACCAGUGGUUCUACUUCCCAUUCCGAUGUGUGUGAGAAGAGGUGUGUUUCCCACUGCGUCCUUGGCAGAGUUAAUUAAUGUCUCAUGCCUGUGGGAAACAUAGCCAACUUGGCUUCAUUUACACAUACAUUGGUAACCUUUGAACAUGUUUUAGUUCAUCUCCUCCACAUUAACACUGUAUAAUAUUCCAAAUGGAACAGCUGGCUGAUGUGGGAAGGACCUCUGCACCUGCUUUAGCUGUGGCUAAACUAGGCACUAAUUUUCUUAUCUUUCUUAGGGGUAGGCUACAUUGACUGAACAGUAUUUUUGGAAUAAUGAUAUCUACAAUUAAUAUAAUUAAGAAUUGUAACAGAGUUUCUCUGUUCCCUGUAUUGCUUUGUGCUACAUUGUAAGCAAUCAAUCAUUGUCACCAGAGCUAUUUUGGUUUUUGGAACUCUUCUACUGUGAAGCCAGCAGCAACCUCAAUGUAUAUUGCUGCUGCAGGGUCGUGAUGUAAAUUAACAAAUUGCUAAUUUGUUAACGUUAUUUGGCAAAUCCCUGCUGUUGACUUGUUUACCGCCUGUGUGGGCGUCUCAACAUCCAGGUGCUUGUUUUUGGUGCUGUCAAACUUAACAGACGGCUGUCGCGUCAACAAGUUCCCAGCUCUCAGUUUUAUCGGUUCAGUGUUAUGAUAACCAUCAGAAACGGUCAAAAACAGCAAGACCGCAUUUGUAAUUCCUUCAAUUACACUUAAUGUUCCUGUGUUCGGGUUGCAACAGUAUGAAAUGUAUCACGGUUUCAAUGACUUGAACACACGCUUUAUAAUAAUUUCACAAAUCAACAAUGUCCUUGGUCCUGACAGCUAUUAAACUUUAUAUAAACAUGAAAUAUUG